CGGGCCCCGUGACUUCCCUGGGUUCACGGCAAGGGUGGAACCGGAUUCUGCCUGGAUGGGGAUCUGGAUGGGGGUGGGGGGUUGAUUUGGGAAGCAGAGCACAGCAGCCCAAAUUUGCUUGUAAUGUCGGCGGCUACAGAGGAAAGGCCAAGAAUGGACAGAUUAAUAAAGGGCCAUCUACAAGCCACGAAUAAGGCCAUCACCAGAAGCCAACCCCGCCAGUCCUUGAUCUAGGACUUCCAGACUUCAAAACUGUGAAAAAAAUAAAAUAAAUUU
Long non-coding RNA from Pan troglodytes (chimpanzee), 276 nucleotides. RefSeq lists it as uncharacterized. Lineage: Eukaryota; Metazoa; Chordata; Mammalia; Primates; Hominidae. The transcript is spliced from 3 exons. The record is from RefSeq and is a predicted model, not a curated record.